This is a long non-coding RNA of Zophobas morio, 478 nucleotides long. RefSeq lists it as uncharacterized. The record is from RefSeq and is a predicted model, not a curated record. Lineage: Eukaryota; Metazoa; Arthropoda; Insecta; Coleoptera; Tenebrionidae. The transcript is spliced from 3 exons.
GGCGCGCACGUGUAUUUUGUACACGGUGACCAGAUUAUUGGUUCUAAAAUUAGCAUAAUACAACAUCCGGUCGGGUAGAUUCAGGUAUUCCUCUAGUCGAGUUUUGUCUUUCGAGUGGUCAAGUAAAACUUUUGUUUGUGAGUGUGAGAACUAAACAGUUAGCAAAAACAAGAAUCUCUCCCGUGUUGUGUAUAGAGUACACGCCGCGCUUUCUGAUAUUUUCAAGGGACGUUUUAUUAAUUUUUGUAUAAGACACCGAUUGAAAAAGAACUAAAAAUAUGGCUAGAAGACGUUACCUAACAGAUGAUGACCUGUAUAGAAUUCUGCAUGAUGAAGACUCAGAAACGGAGCGAACUGAAUUAGAAAAUCAAGAUAUUUCAGAAACGGAUGAAGAAGUAGUUGCGUUCAGUGGUCACGACUCUGAAUCUGAAAUUGAACUUCUCGCGGACUGUAGCAAUACAGAAGAUUUUCCUAAUGA